GACGAACGCUGGCGGCGUGCUUAACACAUGCAAGUCGAACGGAAAGGCCCUGCUUUUGUGGGGUGCUCGAGUGGCGAACGGGUGAGUAACACGUGAGUAACCUGCCCUUGACUUUGGGAUAACUUCAGGAAACUGGGGCUAAUACCGGAUAGGAGCUCCUGCUGAAUGGUGGGGGUUGGAAAGUUUCGGCGGUUGGGGAUGGACUCGCGUCUUAUUAGCUUGUUGGUGGGGUAGUGGCUUACCAAGGCUUUGACGGGUAGCCGGCCUGAGAGGGUGACCGGCCACAUUGGGACUGAGAUACGGCCCAGACUCCUACGGGAGGCAGCAGUGGGGAAUAUUGCACAAUGGGCGGAAGCCUGAUGCAGCAACGCCGCGUGCGGGAUGACGGCCUUCGGGUUGUAAACCGCUUUCGCCUGUGACGAAGCGUGAGUGACGGUAAUGGGUAAAGAAGCACCGGCUAACUACGUG
Molecule: ribosomal RNA, 468 nt
Filed under: uncultured bacterium
Lineage: Bacteria
Description: partial 16S ribosomal RNA
Rfam family: Bacterial small subunit ribosomal RNA
Source: RNAcentral